RNAcentral lists this ribosomal RNA (492 nucleotides) under uncultured bacterium. RNAcentral's name for it is "partial 16S ribosomal RNA". It matches the Rfam family "Bacterial small subunit ribosomal RNA", at positions 29 to 507 of the family's 1533-position model. The record is from RNAcentral.
AGUGAACGCUGGCGGUAGGCCUAACACAUGCAAGUCGAACGGCAGCACAGUAAGAGCUUGCUCUUACGGGUGGCGAGUGGCGGACGGGUGAGGAAUACAUCGGAAUCUACUUUUUCGUGGGGGAUAACGUAGGGAAACUUACGCUAAUACCGCAUACGACCUACGGGUGAAAGCAGGGGAUCUUCGGACCUUGCGCGAUUGAAUGAGCCGAUGUCGGAUUAGCUAGUUGGCGGGGUAAAGGCCCACCAAGGCGACGAUCCGUAGCUGGUCUGAGAGGAUGAUCAGCCACACUGGAACUGAGACACGGUCCAGACUCCUACGGGAGGCAGUAGUGGGGAAUAUUGCACAAUGGGCGCAAGCCUGAUCCAGCCAUACCGCGUGGGUGAAGAAGGCCUUCAGGUUGUAAAGCCCUUUUGUUGGGAAAGAAAAGCAGCAGGUUAAUACCCCGCUGUUCUGACGGUACCCAAAGAAUAAGCACCGGCUAACUUCGUG